RNAcentral lists this long non-coding RNA (478 nucleotides) under Vitis vinifera (wine grape). RNAcentral's name for it is "long non-coding RNA (VVIN_LNC000024)". Lineage: Eukaryota; Viridiplantae; Streptophyta; Magnoliopsida; Vitales; Vitaceae. The record is from RNAcentral.
CCACUACCAGAGGGUUCUCCACCAUUGCCUAUUGAUUCUCCUCCUCCACCCCCACCUUUGCCUCCUUCACCGCCCCCACCACCACCUCCUCCAUUAUCUCCAUCACCUCCACCGCCUCCACCUCCUUUUCCGUCACAGCUGCCCCCACUUCCUCCACCACCUGCAGGGCCACCUCCACCUACAGGCCCUCCUCCACCUGCAGGGCCUCCUCCACCUACAGUCCAUCCACCACCUAUGGGGCCUCCACCAUCUACGGGUCCUCCACCACCUAUGGGGCCUCCACCAUCUACGGGUCCUCCACCACCUAUGGGGCCUCCACCUCCAAUGGGCCCUCCACCUAGGGGUCCUCCACCGCUUAUGGGUCCUCCACCACCGACGGGGCCUCCACCACCCACAGGCCCUCCACCACCAAGGGGUCCACCACCUAUUGGGCCUCCACCACCUGCAGGGCCCCCACUACCUCCAGGCCCUCCACCCC